This is a long non-coding RNA of Mustela erminea (ermine), 739 nucleotides long. RefSeq lists it as uncharacterized. The record is from RefSeq and is a predicted model, not a curated record. Lineage: Eukaryota; Metazoa; Chordata; Mammalia; Carnivora; Mustelidae. The transcript has 2 exons.
GGACGAUGCUACACCCGCGUCCCGCGACGCUGCCAGCGAGGAGAACCUGCCGCCGCUUCCUCCCCCCCCCCACCCCACCCCUCCGCCCUCCGGGCCGGGUCUGGAAGUCCGGCCCCGGCCGGGGAGGAGGAGGUGGCGCCCCAGCUGGGACAGCAGCAGCAGAACCUGCGGUGCGCGGAGGAGCCGCGAGUCCAACGGGGAAAGGGACCGGGACUGGGACCGGGACCGGGACCGGCGCGCGGAACCCGGCUGGAAUUUAGACGCGCACAACUGUUGCAACUGCAGAGCCGCUGGGCUCUUUCUGCUCCGGGCUGCUGGUGAAUUACUUACAAAGCGCCCAGACUUCUCGGAAGGGUGAACGACUCGUUCCCUCUCGCACUGUCCGCCCUCAAUCGCUUUCUCCACCACCGCCCGGCACGCUCUACUGAUCUAAAAUCAGAGCAAUUAGAGUAAUGAAUUUUCUGGAACAGCAACUCCUACAGACACUCAGCUCUGCCCUCGCAUCAGCGCCUCCCAGCCUCAAUUCCCAGCAACCAGGCAAGAGCAUGCAGACCCUUUAAAAAACCCUAUGUCAGCUUCAGUGUUAACCGCGUCUGGAUCCUGGAACUUUGCAGAUUGAUCCGUGUGUCCGUGUGUGUGUCUGUGUGUAAAUGGAGUGAGUGCGUGUACCUCUGAGUACUGUGGUGUCAUAACGAAGCUUUGCUCUUAAAGGACGCAAUACAUUUAGGAGUCUUCCUUA